UGAAGUAAAUUGUCCAAGAUCCCAGAACACUUGGCUUCACGCCAAGUACCGCUGCCUUUCAUAUUCCAGUUGAAAGUUUCCUUAUUUGAGACAAGAAGAGGCAGGCAAUCUGGGUUUUCCAGAUGGGAAAAUUCAUGACCAAGAAAGGUGAUUUCUCUGGAAGACUGAGGAACCACGUGAUGCAGGGGUGUGGGUGGCAGUGAGAGGUUAGGCCGUAUUCAAACUUUUCUAGAGUCUCUGCUCUAGUGAGGGCAAACCGUGGACCCUCACCAAGCCACUUCCUUGUCUAAUACUCCAUUUUCUCCCUCAGCUGACUAGGAGACUCAUGAGGUGAUCAGCCUGUCUUUACCAGCCCCCAUCAGAGUGGAACGUGCGCUAAAGCCUCCAUUUUCCUGAGCAUUCACGCUGAGCACAGGAACAGGAGAUAAUAAAUCAUCCCUCCCUACCCAGAAUUCCUCACUCUCCAAGGAGCUGGGAAACAUGAGCCCGCCCAGGGGACCCAGGCCAGUAAGAGACUCACUCCCUGGCUGCCUGGCUCAUUACAUACAUCCUGAGUUGGGAAGCCCUGGGGAGCCCCUUUCAGGAGAUGAGGCUCUUCCUCCUAAGAGUUCUAUUGUUAAAGUCUGAGAAUUUGGGAAUAAUCUACUAGGACAGCCAAUUUCGAGCCGGCAAAAGGUUACUUUAUUCAAAAGCUGAUAUAUCCAGGAGACUACUGGGUUCAAGAUCCAAAAUGUGAAUCAGAGGCAGAAUAGAACAAAUUUUAAAAAAAAAAAAAUUAAAUUAAAAAAAAAAAAACACAGAUUAGGUGGGGGUAGAAGUAGGUUUAUCCAAUCAGGUUCAAGCAUGCAUUGGGUGGAUCAUGCCUGAUAUUCUACGUGGUUUUCUACAUACCAAACACCUCAGGUGGUUUACUUGAUAGCUUGGCCUGGAUUGUAUCAGAAUUCAUUGGCAGCUGUGGUCUUGGCCACAUCUGGGAGCCAAACCAAUGAAGCAUAGAGUGGGAUAUUGUGACUAAGACAUAUCUGGAACAUUUGAACCAGAAGCUCUUUCUGGGGAUUUAGCUUAGUACAAAAUGGCGACUAUAGACAAGAUGGAAUCUCUGUAGCUAAAGAGGCACCCAACGCCACCCCCCUUCUUGUAACUCAUCAAACCUUUGGUGUCACAGCUCUUGGUCAGUAUAUAAGGCAUCAUAUUGUGUCCUUAGAACUAUGAGCUUAACAACAUUUACCCUAUCUUGCACAAAGCAGGAAAUACAAUAUAUUAGGCAACAGACACAUAGCAUCAUCAACAGAAUAACUACCAGAGGACCUAUCAACCCAGUUACCAAACCUAUGCUCCCCUUAACUAUUCCAAUAUGACCAGCAUAAAGACAGCAUUGUUCCCCUACAGAGGUAUUGGGUAGCUUCUGGAUGAAGGCCUCUCGUUGCAUAAAGAGUAGGUCAAGGACUCUCCUGUUUUAUUAGAUAAUUUCUGCCAGGGAGGAGUCUAGGGAGGAGGUCAGGUGGUUGAGGGAUUUUCCAAGGCAGCCAAGUCCCUGUCUGGUAAUUUUGGUCACUGAUAAUAAGGGUCACUGUCCGGAUUCCAACACUGCCAGUUAUUCUGAGAAUCAUGAGCAUGGGGAUCAGAAUGCGGAUUGCCCUGCCAUAGUUUUCUGACCAAAGUCCUCUCCAGGGCUUGGGGCAGGAUUAUGAGGUUGUCAGCUGCUAUGAACUGCUGUACUUUGUUGAUGGAGGUAUUGGGUAGCUUCUGGAUGAAGACAUUGCCCUCAGGUUAAAGGCCUACCUUUUCUCAAUCCCCUUGCUACCAGAAUAGUCAUAUGACUACAUACCAGUCAAUGGAAUAUGGAUGGAGUAAUGGACCCCCAAAUUGUAUCCUGAGAAGAAAGGGAGCAGCCUCUACAUUCCCUGCCCUUUCCCCGCUCAUCUGAACGUAAGGCAGAGACUUGGCAAUCCACAUUUGACCUUGCCGACCCCCACAGACCUACAGUAGAGCAGCAAGGUGGAAGGACCCCAGAACCUGACAUCAGACAGCUGCCAGGCCAACCCUAGACUGUUCCCCUCCAGAUUGUUAUAUGAGGAAGAAAUUAGAUUCUCUCUCGCUUAAGCCAUGAUCAUCUGAUUCCCUGCAAUAGCAGUCAACCUGUAACCCAAUAGAAUCUGGAAUUACCAUA
Molecule: long non-coding RNA, 2170 nt
Organism: Rattus norvegicus (Norway rat)
Lineage: Eukaryota; Metazoa; Chordata; Mammalia; Rodentia; Muridae
Source: RefSeq, a predicted model, not a curated record